RNAcentral lists this ribosomal RNA (427 nucleotides) under uncultured bacterium. RNAcentral's name for it is "partial 16S ribosomal RNA". It matches the Rfam family "Bacterial small subunit ribosomal RNA", at positions 355 to 774 of the family's 1533-position model. The record is from RNAcentral.
UGGGGAAUAUUGGACAAUGGGCGAAAGCCUGAUCCAGCCAUGCCGCGUGUGUGAAGAAGGUCUUCGGGUUGUAAAGUACUUUCAGCGAGGAGGAAGGCGUUGUGGUUAAUAACCGCAACGAUUGACGUUACUCGCAGAAGAAGCACCGGCUAACUCCGUGCCAGCAGCCGCGGUAAUACGGAGGGUGCAAGCGUUAAUCGGAAUUACUGGGCGUAAAGCGCACGCAGGCGGUCUGUCAAGUCGGAUGUGAAAUCCCCGGGCUCGACCUGGGAACUGCAUCCGAAACUGGCAGGCUAGAGUCUUGUAGAGGGGGGUAGAAUUCCAGGUGUAGCGGUGAAAUGCGUAGAGAUCUGGAGGAAUACCGGUGGCGAAGGCGGCCCCCUGGACAAAGACUGACGCUCAGGUGCGAAAGCGUGGGGGGCAAACA